GAAAUGCGAUAAUUAAUGUGAAUUGCAGAAUUCAGUGAAUCAUCGAGUCUUUGAACGCACAUUGCGCCCCCUGGUAUUCCGGGGGGCAUGCCUGUCCGAGCGUCAUUGCUGCCCUCAAUCACGGCUUGUGUGUUGGGCUUCCGUCCCUGGCAACGGGGACGGGCCCAAAAGGCAGUGGCGGCACCAUGUCUGGUCCUCGAGCGUAUGGGGCUUUGUCACCCGCUCCCGUAGGUCCAGCUGGCAGCUAGCCUCGCAACCAAUCUUUUUAACCAGGUUGACCUCGGAUCAGGUAGGGAUACCCGCUGAACUUAAGC
This 314-nucleotide unclassified non-coding RNA is filed under the name plant metagenome. RNAcentral describes it as "partial contains 5.8S ribosomal RNA, internal transcribed spacer 2, and large subunit ribosomal RNA". The stretch from base 1 to 105 matches the Rfam family "5.8S ribosomal RNA", at positions 50 to 154 of the family's 154-position model. The record is from RNAcentral.